Molecule: ribosomal RNA, 496 nt
Filed under: uncultured bacterium
Lineage: Bacteria
Description: bacterial SSU rRNA
Rfam family: Bacterial small subunit ribosomal RNA
Source: RNAcentral
GGCUCAGGAUGAACGCUAGCUACAGGCUUAACACAUGCAAGUCGAGGGGCAGCAUGUCGGUUGCUUGCAACCGAUGAUGGCGACCGGCGCACGGGUGAGUAACGCGUAUCCAACCUACCCUUGUCCAUCGGAUAACCCGUCGAAAAGGCGGCCUAACACGAUAUGCGGUUCUCAGCAGGCAUCUAACGAGAACGAAAUGUGAAGGAGAAGGAUGGGGAUGCGUCUGAUUAGCUUGUUGGCGGGGUAACGGCCCACCAAGGCGACGAUCAGUAGGGGUUCUGAGAGGAAGGUCCCCCACAUUGGAACUGAGACACGGUCCAAACUCCUACGGGAGGCAGCAGUGAGGAAUAUUGGUCAAUGGACGGGAGUCUGAACCAGCCAAGUAGCGUGCAGGAAGACGGCCCUAUGGGUUGUAAACUGCUUUUAUAGGGGGAUAAAGUGUGCCACGUGUGGCAUAUUGCAGGUACCCUAUGAAUAAGGACCGGCUAAUUCCGUG